GGGAAUUUUGCACAAUGGGGGAAACCCUGAUGCAGCGACGCCGCGUGAAUGAUGAAGGCCUUCGGGUUGUAAAAUUCUGUCCUUAGUGAAGAUAAUGACAGUAACUAAGAAGCAAGCCCUGGCUAAAUACGUGCCAGCAGCCGCGGUAAUACGUAUGGGGCAAGCGUUGUCCGGAAUUAUUGGGCGUAAAGGGUACGUAGGCGGUUAUUUAAGUCCUAAUUAAAAGGCAAUGGCUCAACCAUUGUAAGGUUAGGAAACUAGAUAACUUGAGUAGAUGAGGGGAAAGUGGAAUUCCAUGUGUAGCGGUGAAAUGCGUAGAUAUAUGGAGGAACACCUGUGGCGAAGGCGACUUUCUGGAAUCAAACUGACGCUGAGGUACGAAGGCGUGGGGAGCAAACA
This 399-nucleotide ribosomal RNA is filed under the name uncultured bacterium. RNAcentral's name for it is "bacterial SSU rRNA". It matches the Rfam family "Bacterial small subunit ribosomal RNA", at positions 357 to 774 of the family's 1533-position model. The record is from RNAcentral.